Molecule: long non-coding RNA, 222 nt
Filed under: Brassica napus (rape)
Lineage: Eukaryota; Viridiplantae; Streptophyta; Magnoliopsida; Brassicales; Brassicaceae
Description: long non-coding RNA (BNAP_LNC021593)
Source: RNAcentral
GAUGUAGAGGAUGGGCAUGAGGAAGACGUUGAGGAGUCAGAACUGGAGGAGGGAAAAAGCAUUCAGGUAAGUGGUAAAAAUGAGAAAGGGCGUGAAGAGUUAAAGAGGAUGGGGUCUGUGAGUAACCAGAGAGGUAGAGGAAAGAGUUCUAAAAGGUCUAUUGCAAACACUAGAGAUUUGAGACAAGCAGUUGUGGCGAACCAAAACAAAAAGGCUUCCUCU